This 372-nucleotide ribosomal RNA is filed under the name uncultured organism. RNAcentral describes it as "bacterial SSU rRNA". It matches the Rfam family "Bacterial small subunit ribosomal RNA", at positions 526 to 896 of the family's 1533-position model. The record is from RNAcentral.
CGGGGGGGGCAAGCGUUGUUCGGAAUUACUGGGCGUAAAGGGCUCGUAGGCGGCCAACUAAGUCGGACGUGAAAUCCCCAGGCUCAACCUGGGAACUGCGUCCGAUACUGGAUGGCUUGAAUCCGGGAGAGGGAUGCAGAAUUCCAGGUGUAGCGGUGAAAUGCGUAGAUAUCUGGAGGAAUACCGGUGGCGAAGGCGGCAUCCUGGACCGGCAUUGACGCUGAGGAGCGAAAGCCAGGGGAGCAAACGGGAUUAGAUACCCCGGUAGUCCUGGCCCUAAACGAUGAAUGCUUGGUGUGACGGGUAUCGAUCCCUGUCGUGCCGAAGCUAACGCAUUAAGCAUUCCGCCUGGGGAGUACGGUCGCAAGGCUG